This 254-nucleotide ribosomal RNA is filed under the name uncultured bacterium. RNAcentral describes it as "partial 16S ribosomal RNA". It matches the Rfam family "Bacterial small subunit ribosomal RNA", at positions 524 to 776 of the family's 1533-position model. The record is from RNAcentral.
UACGAAGGGGGCUAGCGUUGCUCGGAAUUAUUGGGCGUAAAGCGCGUGUAGGCGGCUUUGCAAGUCGGGUGUGAAAGCCCUCAGCUCAACUGAGGAAGUGCGCCCGAAACUGCAGAGCUUGAGUGCCGGAGAGGGUGGCGGAAUUCCCCAAGUAGAGAUGAAAUUCGUAGGAUAUGGGGAGGAACACCGGUGGCGAAGGCGGCCACCUGGACGGUAACUGACGCUGAGACGCGAAAGCGUGGGGAGCAAACAGG